UACGUAGGGGGCGAGCGUUGUCCGGAAUUACUGGGCGUAAAGAGCACGUAGGCGGCUAUAAAAGUCAGAUGUGAAAAACCUGGGCUCAACCGAGGGUAUGCAUCUGAAACUAAAUAGCUUGAGUCAAGGAGAGGAGAGCGGAAUUCCUGGUGUAGCGGUGAAAUGCGUAGAGAUCAGGAAGAAUACCAGGGGCGAAAGCGGCUCUCUGGACUUGAACUGACGCUGAGGUGCGAAAGCGUGGGGAGCAAACAGG
Molecule: ribosomal RNA, 253 nt
Filed under: uncultured bacterium
Lineage: Bacteria
Description: partial 16S ribosomal RNA
Rfam family: Bacterial small subunit ribosomal RNA
Source: RNAcentral